CAGCAGCCGCCGCGGUAAUACGUAGGUGGCAAGCGUUGUCCGGAAUUAUUGGGCGUAAAGGGCUCGCAGGCGGUUUCUUAAGUCUGAUGUGAAAGCCCCCGGCUCAACCGGGGAGGGUCAUUGGAAACUGGGAAACUUGAGUGCAGAAGAGGAGAGUGGAAUUCCACGCGUAGCGGUGAAAUGCGUAGAGAUGUGGAGGAUCACCAGUGGUGAAGGCGACUCUCUGGUCUGUAACUGACGCUGAGGAGCGAAAGCGUGGGGAGCGAACAGGAUUAGAUACCCGCGUAGUCCCUGUCUCUUAUAC
RNAcentral lists this ribosomal RNA (304 nucleotides) under uncultured bacterium. RNAcentral describes it as "partial 16S ribosomal RNA". It matches the Rfam family "Bacterial small subunit ribosomal RNA", at positions 506 to 807 of the family's 1533-position model. The record is from RNAcentral.